This 340-nucleotide unclassified non-coding RNA is filed under the name Hevea brasiliensis (rubber tree). The record is from RNAcentral. Lineage: Eukaryota; Viridiplantae; Streptophyta; Magnoliopsida; Malpighiales; Euphorbiaceae.
CAACAAUCCUCACGUCGGCAAAUCCGGUGUCUACGGCUCUGAUGCAUCCUGGGUCGGCUGGUGGUCUUCCUCCACUUCCGUCGCUCCACCGGAGUUCGCCCCGUUGAUUCCCAAUAAGGCAUCACCCGACUUGUCGAGAUCUGAUUUCCAAAGCUACUUGUCGUCCAUUGCUGAGCCUUAUCACCGAUUUGAGGACGUUAGGAAUCACGCCAGCAAGGAGGAGAAUUUGGACUUAGAGAGCAUCGGCGGCCAAGGCGAGGCACUUGUGGCGUGUUUGCGAGAGGUACCCGCAUUGUAUUUUAAAGAAGAUUUCGCUUUGGAAGAUGGGCCCACCUUCCGC